CCCAGCAGUAGUCAGCUGCCCAGUGCCGCUCAGUGCCUGCGGUAGUGUUAUGCUGCUGGGACAGAAACGCGCUGCCGAGUCGCUCCUGGCACCACGGGCGCUGUUCUAGUGCCAGGUGGUGCUGGGGUUUGGCAGCGCUCUGCAUGCUUGAGAGUGGAGUAACCCCUCCUUGGUGGGGUUAAUCCUAGACUGGAUGCAGACAAC
Molecule: small nucleolar RNA, 204 nt
Filed under: Mesitornis unicolor (brown roatelo)
Lineage: Eukaryota; Metazoa; Chordata; Aves; Mesitornithiformes; Mesitornithidae
Description: Small nucleolar RNA SNORA74
Rfam family: Small nucleolar RNA SNORA74
About the family: U19 belongs to the H/ACA class of snoRNAs. snoRNAs bind a number of proteins (including dyskerin, Gar1p and Nop10p in the case of the H/ACA class) to form snoRNP complexes. This class are thought to guide the sites of modification of uridines to pseudouridines by forming direct base pairing interactions with substrate RNAs.
Source: Rfam by way of RNAcentral